ACGACGCAUUACAUGUCGCGGAAGGGAGUCUACGCAUUGAACACCGUGAUCACAUGUGAUGCCGACCUCUGGAUGUCAGUCCAUGUUUCCUGGGGUCAUGUCAUGACUCGUGGGUAUGGCGGGGGAGCCCUCUCCGUCAGCACCUGAAAGCAAAACUUCGGCUUGCUUGGAGACUCCAGCUAUACAUUAGAACCGUGGCUCCUGACACCAGUGCCCGGACGACCAGCUCGUGGCACCCCUGAUAACCACUACAACAAGGCCCACACCGCCUUGCGCAAUGUUGUGGAGUGGUGCAUCGCUGUAAGCUUGUGCAGAGCUGCACAAGCAUCAUCGCUGCUUGUGCAGCUCUGCACGACAUUGCGUUGGCGGCACAUGAGCCUGUUCUCGAAGGGGACGAUGAUGACACCGACGAUGCUGAGCUGCUGCCAGCAGCAGCUGAGCUACCACCACCACAACGGGAGCCAGCAGCAGCGCAACCGUGUAGUGAACCUGUUUCGAGAACCACAGGGCCUGCAUGCUUGAGCACCUGCGCAGAGUACGCCGC
Long non-coding RNA from Rhipicephalus sanguineus (brown dog tick), 544 nucleotides. RefSeq lists it as uncharacterized. The transcript is spliced from 3 exons. The record is from RefSeq and is a predicted model, not a curated record. Lineage: Eukaryota; Metazoa; Arthropoda; Arachnida; Ixodida; Ixodidae.